This 233-nucleotide ribosomal RNA is filed under the name uncultured bacterium. RNAcentral describes it as "partial 16S ribosomal RNA". It matches the Rfam family "Bacterial small subunit ribosomal RNA", at positions 278 to 509 of the family's 1533-position model. The record is from RNAcentral.
GAUGGGUAGGGGUCCUGGGAGGGAGAUCCCCACACUGGUACUGAGACACGGACCAGACUCCUACGGGAGGCAGCAGUGAGGAAUAUUGAACAAUGGGCGCAAGCCUGAUCCAGCCAUGCCGCGUGCAGGAAGACGGUCCUAUGGAUUGUAAACUGCUUUUGUACAGGAAGAAACACUACCUCGUGAGGUAGCUUGACGGUACUGUAAGAAUAAGGAUCGGCUAACUCCGUGCC